This 252-nucleotide ribosomal RNA is filed under the name uncultured bacterium. RNAcentral's name for it is "partial 16S ribosomal RNA". It matches the Rfam family "Bacterial small subunit ribosomal RNA", at positions 524 to 776 of the family's 1533-position model. The record is from RNAcentral.
UACGUAGGUCCCGAGCGUUGUCCGGAUUUAUUGGGCGUAAAGCGAGCGCAGGUGGUUUAUUAAGUCUGGUGUAAAAGGUAGUGGCUCAACCAUUGUAUGCAUUGGAAACUGGUAGACUUGAGUGCAGGAGAGGAGAGUGGAAUUCCAUGUGUAGCGGUGAAAUGCGUAGAUAUAUGGAGGAACACCGGUGGCGAAAGCGGCUCUCUGGCCUGUAACUGACACUGAGGCUCGAAAGCGUGGGGAGCAGACAGG